UACGGAGGGGGCGAGCGUUGUUCGGAAUUACUGGGCGUAAAGGGCGUGUAGGCAGACUGUUAAGUUAGGGGUGAAAUCCCAGGGCUCAACCCUGGAACUGCCUCUAAUACUGGCGGUCUUGAGAUUUGGAGAGGUGUGUGGAAUUCCUAGUGUAGAGGUGAAAUUCGUAGAUAUUAGGAAGAACACCAGUGGCGAAGGCGGCACACUGGCCAACAUCUGACGCUGAGGCGCGAAAGCGUGGGGAGCAAACAGG
Molecule: ribosomal RNA, 253 nt
Filed under: uncultured bacterium
Lineage: Bacteria
Description: partial 16S ribosomal RNA
Rfam family: Bacterial small subunit ribosomal RNA
Source: RNAcentral